UUUUUUUUUUUUAGGUCACUAGUUUGGUUCAAAUGAAGACCCAGGCUGAGUCUGAUAACACUGGUUAAUAAACUAAUGAAUAUAUGUCUACACAUUUCUUUAUUUCUUACCUUUUACAAAUUUACCAGAGUUUAAUGACUUUCUAUUUUGAACGAUGAAAGCAUGUUUCUCAGGAACAGCUUAAUUUUCCAUUUGAACAGGAAAAUAUUUUUCGUUAACUAAUUUUCAUCAACGCCCCAAAUGUCAAAAAAUGUGAAAAAUGUUUUCUGAAAAAUAUUUUCUGUGAAACAAACAAAAGCAUAGAAUCAAAGAAAAAAAUUGGCAAAUUAGAUAUGUAAGUUAUAAAUGAUUUAUCCUUGACUUAACUAUGAAGAAUAUAUACCCAAACUACUAACAAGAAACAAAGCAUACCAUGAUACCAAUUUAAUUUUAGAAGACCAACCAAUUUAAUGAAUAUCAUAAUGUGAUGAUGAUGCAAUUUAUACCCUGGUUGCAUACAUUGAGCACACAAGCAUGAUGACCAAUGCCUUGAGAAAUAAAAAUUCUUGGCACCUUAAGGGCACCAUUCACUUUAAACAACUAUGGUUCUCCCAUUUUUUUCACUGAAUCUCAGCUACCAUCUCUUUGUUUUUCUUGUCUUACGUACAGUGAAAAAAA
This 657-nucleotide unclassified non-coding RNA is filed under the name Hevea brasiliensis (rubber tree). The record is from RNAcentral. Lineage: Eukaryota; Viridiplantae; Streptophyta; Magnoliopsida; Malpighiales; Euphorbiaceae.